This is a small RNA of Flavobacterium psychrophilum JIP02/86, 70 nucleotides long. It matches the Rfam family "Flavo-1 RNA". NCBI's taxonomy places the organism in Bacteria, Pseudomonadati, Bacteroidota, Flavobacteriia, Flavobacteriales, Flavobacteriaceae. The record is from Rfam.
AUAUAGCCCUGAUGGAGUGAAAAUCCUUGCCAUUUUUCUUGGCAAGAUUGUAGCGAGAGCAGGAAAUUAG